Molecule: ribosomal RNA, 464 nt
Filed under: uncultured bacterium
Lineage: Bacteria
Description: partial 16S ribosomal RNA
Rfam family: Bacterial small subunit ribosomal RNA
Source: RNAcentral
GACGAACGCUGGCGGCGUGCUUAACACAUGCAAGUCGAACGGAAAGGCCCCUUUGGGGGUACUCGAGUGGCGAACGGGUGAGUAACACGUAAGUAACCUGCCCUUGACUUCGGGAUAACUUCCGGAAACUGGGGCUAAUACCGGAUAGGAAUCCUUGCUGCAUGGUGGGGGUUGGAAAGCUUCGGCGGUUUUGGAUGGACUCGCGGCUUAUCAGCUUGUUGGUGGGGUAGUGGCUUACCAAGGCUUUGACGGGUAGCCGGCCUGGGAGGGCGACCGGCCACAUUGGGACUGGGAUACGGCCCGGCCUCCUACGGGAGGCAGCAGUGGGGAAUAUUGCACAAUGGGCGGAAGCCUGAUGCAGCAACGCCGCGUGCGGGAUGACGGCCUUCGGGUUGUAAACCGCUUUCAGCAGGGGCGAAGCUUGUGGGAACGGUACCUGCAGAAGAAGCACGGCCAAAUUCCGU